RNAcentral lists this ribosomal RNA (679 nucleotides) under fungal sp. RNAcentral's name for it is "eukaryotic LSU rRNA". The stretch from base 458 to 679 matches the Rfam family "Eukaryotic large subunit ribosomal RNA", at positions 1 to 226 of the family's 3401-position model. The record is from RNAcentral. Lineage: Eukaryota; Fungi.
UACAGAGUUUCUAACUCACAACCCAUCGUGAACAUACCUUUGUUGCUUCGGCGCGCUUCACGGCCGCCGAAGACCCUAAACUCUUGUUUUUACAUGUGUUACUCUGAGUAAUUCUUGAAAUAAAUCAAAACCUUCAACAACGGAUCUCUUGGCUCUGGCAUCGAUGAAGAACGCAGCGAAAUGCGAAAAGUAAUGUGAAUUGCAGAAUUCAGUGAAUCAUCGAAUCUUUGAACGCACAUUGCGCCCGCUGGUACUCCGGCGGGCACGCCUGUCCGAGCGUCAUUUCAACCCUCAAGCCCUCCUUCGGGAUGGGCCUGGUGUUGGGGCUCGGCCGCCAUCUCCGGCGGCCGUCCCCUAAAUACAGUGGCGGUCACGUCGCGACUCCUUUGCGUAGUAGAAACACCUCGCUCCGGAUAGCAACGCGGUCCACGCCGUAAAACCCCCAAUUUUCAAUGGUUGACCUCGGAUCAGGUGGGAAUACCCGCUGAACUUAAGCAUAUCAAUAAGCGGAGGAAAAGAAACCAACAGGGAUUGCCUCAGUAACGGCGAGUGAAGCGGCAACAGCUCAAAUUUGAAAUCUGGCCCUUGGGUCCGAAUUGUAAUUUGCAGAGGAUGCUUUUGGCGAGGUGCCUUCCGAGUUCCCUGGAACGGGACGCCACAGAGGGUGAGAGCCCCGUCC